GACGAACGCUGGCGGCGUGCUUAACACAUGCAAGUCGAGCGGUAAGGCCCUUUCGGGGGUACACGAGCGGCGAACGGGUGAGUAACACGUGGGUGACCUGCCUUUAGCUCUGGGAUAAGCCUGGGAAACUGGGUCUAAUACCGGAUAUGACUCCGCGGUGCAUGCUGUGGGGUGGAAAGCCUUGUGCGGCUGGAGAUGGGCCCGCGGCCUAUCAGCUUGUUGGUGGGGUGAUGGCCUACCAAGGCGACGACGGGUAGCCGGCCUGAGAGGACGAUCAGCCACACUGGCACUGCGACACGGGCCAGACUCCUACGGGAGGCAGCAGUAAGGAAUAUUGCGCAAUGGGCGAAAGCCUGACGCAGCGACGCCGCGUGGGGAUGAAGGUCUCGGA
RNAcentral lists this ribosomal RNA (391 nucleotides) under uncultured bacterium. RNAcentral's name for it is "bacterial SSU rRNA". It matches the Rfam family "Bacterial small subunit ribosomal RNA", at positions 28 to 422 of the family's 1533-position model. The record is from RNAcentral.